AGUGAACGCUGGCGGUAGGCCUAACACAUGCAAGUCGAACGGCAGCACAGUAAGAGCUUGCUCUUACGGGUGGCGAGUGGCGGACGGGUGAGGAAUACAUCGGAAUCUACUUUUUCGUGGGGGAUAACGUAGGGAAACUUACGCUAAUACCGCAUACGACCUACGGGUGAAAGCAGGGGAUCUUCGGACCUUGCGCGAUUGAAUGAGCCGAUGUCGGAUUAGCUAGUUGGCGGGGUAAAGGCCCACCAAGGCGACGAUCCGUAGCUGGUCUGAGAGGAUGAUCAGCCACACUGGAACUGAGACACGGUCCAGACUCCUACGGGAGGCAGCAGUGGGGAAUAUUGGGCAAUGGGCGCAAGCCUGAUCCAGCCAUACCGCGUGGGUGAAGAAGGCCUUCGGGUUGUAAAGCCCUGUUGUUGGGAAAGAAAAGCAGUAGGUUAAUACCCCGCUGUUCUGACGGUACCCAAAGAAUAAGCACCGGCUAACUUCGUG
RNAcentral lists this ribosomal RNA (492 nucleotides) under uncultured bacterium. RNAcentral's name for it is "partial 16S ribosomal RNA". It matches the Rfam family "Bacterial small subunit ribosomal RNA", at positions 29 to 507 of the family's 1533-position model. The record is from RNAcentral.